GUGACCCCAGGUCAGGCGGGACCACCCGCUGAGUUUAAGCAUAUCAAUAAGCGGAGGA
RNAcentral lists this ribosomal RNA (58 nucleotides) under Nassauvia lagascae. RNAcentral describes it as "25S ribosomal RNA". Lineage: Eukaryota; Viridiplantae; Streptophyta; Magnoliopsida; Asterales; Asteraceae. RNAcentral also lists the same sequence under 10 other names. The record is from RNAcentral.